AGGUGGCCUCUACUUGUAAGCUAUCGCUUUACGAUGGGUCUGCGUCUGAUUAGCUAGUUGUGGGGUAACGGCCUACCAAGGCGACGAUCAGUAGCCGGUCUGAGAGGAUGAACGGCCACAUUGGAACUGAGACACGGUCCAGACUCCUACGGGAGGCAGCAGUGGGGAAUCUUCCGCAAUGGGCGCAAGCCUGACGGAGCAACGCCGCGUGAGUGAAGAAGGGUUUCGACUCGUAAAGCUCUGUUGUCGGGGACGAAUGUGGAGAUGGUGAAUAACCAUUUCCAAUGACGGUACCUGACGAGGAAGCCACGGCUAACUACGUGCCAGCAGCCGCGGUAAUACGUAGGUGGCGAGCGUUGUCCGGAAUUAUUGGGCGUAAAGGGAGCGCAGGCGGGAAGGUAAGUCUAUCUUAAAAGUGCGGGGCCCAACCCCGUGAGGGGAUGGAAACUAUCUUUCUUGAGUGCAGGAGAGGAAAGCGGAAUUCCUAGUGUAGCGGUGAAAUGCGUAGAUAUUAGGAGGAACACCAGUGGCGAAGGCGGCUUUCUGGACUGUAACUGACGCUGAGGCUCGAAAGCGUGGGGAGCGAACAGGAUUAGAUACCCUGGUAGUCCACGCCGUAAACGAUGAAUGCUAGGUGUAGGAGGUAUCGACCCCUCCUGUGCCGGAGUUAACGCAAUAAG
RNAcentral lists this ribosomal RNA (680 nucleotides) under uncultured bacterium. RNAcentral's name for it is "bacterial SSU rRNA". It matches the Rfam family "Bacterial small subunit ribosomal RNA", at positions 202 to 864 of the family's 1533-position model. The record is from RNAcentral.